This 794-nucleotide ribosomal RNA is filed under the name uncultured archaeon. RNAcentral's name for it is "bacterial SSU rRNA". It matches the Rfam family "Archaeal small subunit ribosomal RNA", at positions 85 to 879 of the family's 1478-position model. The record is from RNAcentral.
ACGGCUCAGUAACACGUAGUCAACCUAACCUAUGGACGGGAAUAACCUCGGGAAACUGAGUAUAAUGCCCGAUAGAACAUUAUGCCUGGAAUGGUUUAUGUUCCAAAUGAUUUACCGCCGUAGGAUGGGACUGCGGCCUAUCAGUUUGUUGGUGAGGUAAUGGCCCACCAAGACUAUUACAGGUACUGGGCUCUGAGAGGAGUGGCCCGGAGAUGGGUACUGAGACACGGACCCAGGCCCUAUGGGGCGCAGCAGGCGAGAAAACUUUGCAAUGUGCGAAAGCACGACAAGGUUAAUCCGAGUGGUUUCUGCUAAGGAACCUUUUGUCGGUCCUAGAAACACCGAUGAAUAAGGGGUGGGCAAGUUCUGGUGUCAGCCGCCGCGGUAAAACCAGCACCUCAAGUGGUCAGGAUGAUUAUUGGGCCUAAAGCAUCCGUAGCCGGCUUUGUUAGUUUUCGGUUAAAUCUGUACGCUUAACGUACAGGCUGCCGGGAAUACUGCAGAGCUAGGGAGUGGGAGAGGUAGACGGUACUCGGUAGGAAGGGGUAAAAUCCUUUGAUCUAUUGAUGACCACCUGUGGCGAAGGCGGUCUACCAGAACACGUCCGACUGGUGAGGGAUGAAAGCUGGGGGAGCAAACCGGAUUAGAUACCCGGGUAGUCCCAGCUGUAAACUAUGCAAACUCAGUGAUGCAUUGGCUUGUGGCCAAUGCAGUGCUGCAGGGAAGCCGUUAAGUUUGCCGCCUGGGAAGUACGUACGCAAGUAUGAAACUUAAAGGAAUUGGCGGGGGAGCAC